RNAcentral lists this ribosomal RNA (478 nucleotides) under Haloferax volcanii. RNAcentral's name for it is "bacterial SSU rRNA". It matches the Rfam family "Archaeal small subunit ribosomal RNA", at positions 339 to 816 of the family's 1478-position model. Lineage: Archaea; Methanobacteriati; Methanobacteriota; Halobacteria; Halobacteriales; Haloferacaceae. The record is from RNAcentral.
GCGCGAAACCUUUACACUGCACGCAAGUGCGAUAAGGGGACCCCAAGUGCGAGGGCAUAUAGUCCUCGCUUUUCACGACUGUAAGGCGGUCGUGGAAUAAGAGCUGGGCAAGACCGGUGCCAGCCGCCGCGGUAAUACCGGCAGCUCAAGUGAUGACCGAUAUUAUUGGGCCUAAAGCGUCCGUAGCCGGCCACGAAGGUUCAUCGGGAAAUCCGCCAGCUCAACUGGCGGGCGUCCGGUGAAAACCACGUGGCUUGGGACCGGAAGGCUCGAGGGGUACGUCCGGGGUAGGAGUGAAAUCCCGUAAUCCUGGACGGACCACCGAUGGCGAAAGCACCUCGAGAAGACGGAUCCGACGGUGAGGGACGAAAGCUAGGGUCUCGAACCGGAUUAGAUACCCGGGUAGUCCUAGCUGUAAACGAUGCUCGCUAGGUGUGACACAGGCUACGAGCCUGUGUUGUGCCGUAGGGAAGCCGAG